This 468-nucleotide ribosomal RNA is filed under the name uncultured bacterium. RNAcentral's name for it is "partial 16S ribosomal RNA". It matches the Rfam family "Bacterial small subunit ribosomal RNA", at positions 28 to 507 of the family's 1533-position model. The record is from RNAcentral.
GACGAACGCUGGCGGCGUGCUUAACACAUGCAAGUCGAACGGAAAGGCCCUGCUUUUGUGGGGUGCUCGUGUGGCGAACGGGUGUGUAACACGUGAGUAACCUGCCCUUGACUUUGGGAUAACUUCAGGAAACUGGGGCUAAUACCGGAUAGGAGCUCCUGCUGCAUGGUGGGGGUUGGAAAGUUUCGGCGGUUGGGGAUGGACUCGCGGCUUAUCAGCUUGUUGGUGGGGUAGUGGCUUACCAAGCCUUUGACGGGUAGCCGGCCUGAGAGGGUUACCGGGCACAUUGGGCCUGAGAGACGGCCCAGACGCCAACGGGAGGCAGCAGUGGGGAAUAUUGCGCAGUGGGCGGAAGCCUGAUGCAGCAACGCCGCGUGCGGGAUGACGGCCUUCGGGUUGUAAACAGCUUUCGCCGGUGACGAAGAGUGAGUGACGGUAAUGGGUAAAGAAGCACCGGCUAACUACGUG